This is a long non-coding RNA of Octodon degus (degu), 666 nucleotides long. RefSeq lists it as uncharacterized. The transcript is spliced from 3 exons. The record is from RefSeq and is a predicted model, not a curated record. NCBI's taxonomy places the organism in Eukaryota, Metazoa, Chordata, Mammalia, Rodentia, Octodontidae.
UGGUCACGCCCCCCGAGGCGGCCGCGGAAAGCCUCGGGUUGGGGUGGAUUUAAUCUUGGCAGAGGAAGAGGGGUAAAUGUAAUGUUUCACCUGGCUUCCUACGGAUUCUUGGACGCUCUCUUUGAGCCUGAGCGAAUCCUCCUCGCUUAGGUUUCAUGUUUGCUAGCGGAGUGGGCCAGAUGAGAAAACGGGCUCCAGGACAGGAAAGGCUGGUUCAAAGCCAUGCGGGAGGCAAGGUCGGAUGGUCGGAGUCAGGGACUUGGCGCAGGGCUACUGCGAGCUCUUGCCCACCGCACGCCAGGCCUGUGGGAUAACAUCCGCCUCUGACCAAAGACCAGCAGAGCACCCCUCCCCAGGCCGACUCAGAUCUGCCACCAGGUACCACAGGACAUGUGUGUCUUACGUCAGCCCAACCCUGUCCCUGGGACGUCUUACACAGGUUAAGGGGCUAUCUUGGAAGUGAAGGCAGGGGCUUCUGGCCUGUGAGCACAUGCACAGGAGGAGACAGGAGUCUGGAGCCCACACCGUGUGCCAGGCACUCGACACACUUGCAGUUGACCCUCACAUCGAAGCAGAUUGUGCCUCAUGAUACCUAACUGAAAGGUGAUGAGGGGCCUGGGAAAUGGCUCAGUAGGUUAAGUGCUUGGCUGGCAAGUGGGAGGGCCU